Molecule: ribosomal RNA, 253 nt
Filed under: uncultured bacterium
Lineage: Bacteria
Description: partial 16S ribosomal RNA
Rfam family: Bacterial small subunit ribosomal RNA
Source: RNAcentral
UACGAAGGGAGCUAGCGUUGUUCGGAAUUACUGGGCGUAAAGGGCGCGUAGGCGGACAUCUAAGUCAGGGGUGAAAUCCCAGGGCUCAACCCUGGAAUUGCCUUUGAUACUGGACGUCUCGAGUUCGGGAGAGGUGAGUGGAAUUCCGAGUGUAGAGGUGAAAUUCGUAGAUAUUCGGAGGAACACCAGAAGCGAAGGCGGCUCACUGGCCCGAUACUGACGCUGAGGCGCGAAAGCGUGGGGAGCAAACAGG